GCACAUUCAACUCGUACUCUAUUUAGCAACUAUAGUAUACAAGCUUCGAAAGCUGGCUUUGAAUAUCUUCAUACCCUCAUAACGCCAGAUCAAUUCAUUUUUUUUUCUAUUUUUAUUAUGUUGGUCUUGUCGAUUUUCUGGGCAGAUGAUAUCGUAUUCUAGACAUGUCGAUAUUCUAGAAGCUGAAAAGUGAAACUAAUCUCUAGAAGCCUACCCCUUCACAUGAUCAGUUAUUCUUUUUUCCUUC
RNAcentral lists this long non-coding RNA (247 nucleotides) under Physcomitrium patens. RNAcentral's name for it is "long non-coding RNA (PPAT_LNC002614)". Lineage: Eukaryota; Viridiplantae; Streptophyta; Bryopsida; Funariales; Funariaceae. The record is from RNAcentral.